Molecule: long non-coding RNA, 201 nt
Filed under: Nicotiana benthamiana
Lineage: Eukaryota; Viridiplantae; Streptophyta; Magnoliopsida; Solanales; Solanaceae
Description: long non-coding RNA (NBEN_LNC028159)
Source: RNAcentral
GAAAAUCACACAUUCUUCUACUUCAAAUACCGAAAAUCAGAAUUGACAGCGUGAUAGUCAAUCAGUGCGGAGGUUUUACAAUGUCAAAAAUCCCGAUAAUGCUGAAAUCUAAUGGUUAUUGGGAUAACUAUGGCAGAUUCCGAGAUUUGAAGUUGAUGCUAUUUUGGUUGAUGAUAAUGCAAGCUACGGAAUUAUCCAGUC